Long non-coding RNA from Xiphophorus couchianus (Monterrey platyfish), 858 nucleotides. RefSeq lists it as uncharacterized. The record is from RefSeq and is a predicted model, not a curated record. The transcript is spliced from 3 exons. NCBI's taxonomy places the organism in Eukaryota, Metazoa, Chordata, Actinopteri, Cyprinodontiformes, Poeciliidae.
ACUCACCUCUCUGCCAUUUUCCCACCGGCUCCUAAAAUUAAUCAGCAAGAACAUACAAAAUGCCCUCCAUGUUGGUGAAAUUGCGGUAGCCGCAGUCACGGAAUCACUUCUCCUAGACUAGUGUCAAGGCAACGGCGAUCAUGCUUCCUGGAGUGGAUCCAUGGGGAGGCUGCUUUCCUAAUGAUUCCGUUUGGAAACAUCGCUUCAUCCAGCCGCAGUGAGGACAGAGAAGCGGACCUGCAUCUGCAAACACUGAUCUUAAUCUUUGCUGGAAAUACUGCAGCCAUGGAAGGCUCGUCCGGUACAGUCGGUGGAUGGAUCCCUUUCUGGCAUUGCUCGGAUGUUGUGCGUUCUGCAGCUAUGUUCGCUUGAUGGAAAUAGUCCAGACAUGCUUUUUCCAGUUAAAAAUAUCCUGGGAAUAAUUGAGCAUUAUUUACCUUAGCCUGUCUUUUGGGCUGAGUUGCGCUUCAUGAUUCAAGUUUUUACCACCACCGAGCUGGAUGAUACUGUGAUUCCCUAUAGUUUUCAAUUGCAGUGCAAGGUCUGCGAAAGAGAAGCAAGCUGAAGCCAAAAUGUUUAAUUUAAAGAGCCUGCUGCGGAUUUCCAACCGAUCAUUUUUGGUCGUCAUAUUUCUCUUCUCUAUGUCCACCACCUGUCUUUACUUUAUUUAUGUGGCCCCAGGAACAGCCAAUACAUACUACUUCAUGGUGCAGGCCCAGGGCUUAAUACCAGGACUGUGAACACCACGUCUCUGGUCAAGAGGGCACAGAAACGCUUGUAUUUCUUGCGGAGGAUGAGAAGAGCACACCUGCCCCCGCCCAUCCUCAAGACGUUCUACAGAAGCACCAUAGAGAGCAU